RNAcentral lists this ribosomal RNA (492 nucleotides) under uncultured bacterium. RNAcentral describes it as "partial 16S ribosomal RNA". It matches the Rfam family "Bacterial small subunit ribosomal RNA", at positions 29 to 507 of the family's 1533-position model. The record is from RNAcentral.
AGUGAACGCUGGCGGUAGGCCUAACACAUGCAAGUCGAACGGCAGCACAGUAAGAGCUUGCUCUUACGGGUGGCGAGUGGCGGACGGGUGAGGAAUACAUCGGAAUCUACUUUUUCGUGGGGGAUAACGUAGGGAAACUUACGCUAAUACCGCAUACGACCUACGGGUGAAAGCAGGGGAUCUUCGGACCUUGCGCGAUUGAAUGAGCCGAUGUCGGAUUAGCUAGUUGGCGGGGUAAAGGCCCACCAAGGCGACGAUCCGUAGCUGGUCUGAGAGGAUGAUCAGCCACACUGGAACUGAGACACGGUCCAGACUCCUACGGGAGGCAGCAGUGGGGAAUAUUGGACAAUGGGCGCAAGCCUGAUCCAGCCAUACCGCGUGGGUGAAGAAGGCCUUCGGUUUUUAAAGCCCUUUUUUUGGGAAAGAAAAGCAGCAGGUUAAUACCCCGCUGUUCUGACGGUACCCAAAGAAUAAGCACCGGCUAACUUCGUG